CCUAUUGACGACGACGAGAUGGUAUCUUUUAUCAUGAAUGGUCUUGAUUCUGAUUACAACCCCAUAGUGUCUUCUGUUCUUGGGUGAUCAGAUCCAAUCUCUGUCAAUGAACUGUUUGCUCAAGUCAUGUCCUAUGAUC
Small nucleolar RNA from Panicum virgatum (switchgrass), 139 nucleotides. RefSeq annotates it as small nucleolar RNA Z247. The record is from RefSeq and is a predicted model, not a curated record. Lineage: Eukaryota; Viridiplantae; Streptophyta; Magnoliopsida; Poales; Poaceae. The transcript has a single exon.